CAAAAAUUUACUUUAAAUUACUUAUAUAACUUAGUUUUCUUUAUGUAUUCUAUAUGUUAUUUGGGGGGUGGUUUUUAAUAGACAGUUUGAUAUAAUGAUAUAAAAAACAUCAUGAGAAUGUAAUCUGUGAGAAUGCGAUUUAAUGUACACUUUAAAUAUAUAUUGGAAAAUAGUAAAAAAAAUAAAUGCCUAAAUAUGCAUUAUGCACUGAUUCACAAUAUUGGUGGACUUACUUGUUUACAAUGCCAUUUACUUCACUAUUGUCGAUUUUUAGGCCAUUUUGUUGAACCCGCCCUAUAUUGUAUAUCUAAUAUGUAGCUGUGACACUUGGCAAAGCUGGGCAAGACCUAAAGUUCAACAAAACUUGCCAAUAAAAUCAGUGCUGGAAAUUCACUUUUUCCGGUUGGGG
Paramuricea clavata is the source of this 409-nucleotide non-coding RNA. The record is from the annotation of a GenBank genome assembly. NCBI's taxonomy places the organism in Eukaryota, Metazoa, Cnidaria, Anthozoa, Malacalcyonacea, Plexauridae.